RNAcentral lists this non-coding RNA (30 nucleotides) under Homo sapiens (human). Lineage: Eukaryota; Metazoa; Chordata; Mammalia; Primates; Hominidae. The record is from RNAcentral.
UGGAAGGUGACCCGCCUAUAGAACUUGAGG